RNAcentral lists this ribosomal RNA (1373 nucleotides) under Leuconostoc mesenteroides. RNAcentral describes it as "partial 16S ribosomal RNA". It matches the Rfam family "Bacterial small subunit ribosomal RNA", at positions 111 to 1488 of the family's 1533-position model. The record is from RNAcentral. Lineage: Bacteria; Bacillati; Bacillota; Bacilli; Lactobacillales; Lactobacillaceae.
GAAGGUGGAACACGUGCACCUCGCUCGGAGGGGGAAUACAUUGGAACAGGUCUUAACCGAAUAAAUUUGUUCCGCAGCCAAAAUUAAAGGGCGUUUGGGCUCACAAGAGAGUGUUCCGCGGCCUUUAUUUGGUGGGUGGAAAAGCCUCACAAGACAUUUGUCCAUGCCGGUUGAGAGUCUUUUCGCCCCCUUGGGAAUGAACACCGCCCAAAUUCCUGGGGGAGGGUCCAGUAGGAAUUCUCCACAAUGGGGAAAAGCUUGAGGAACAACGCCGCGUGUGUGAUAAGGCUUUCGGGUCGUAAAGCACUGUUGUAUGGGAAGAACAGCUAGAAUUGGAAAUGAUUUUAGUUUGACGGUACCAUACCAGAAAGGGACGGCUAAAUACGUGCCAGCAGCCGCGGUAAUACGUAUGUCCCGAGCGUUAUCCGGAUUUAUUGGGCGUAAAGCGAGCGCAGACGGUUUAUUAAGUCUGAUGUGAAAGCCCGGAGCUCAACUCCGGAAUGGCAUUGGAAACUGGUUAACUUGAGUGCAGUAGAGGUAAGUGGAACUCCAUGUGUAGCGGUGGAAUGCGUAGAUAUAUGGAAGAACACCAGUGGCGAAGGCGGCUUACUGGACUGCAACUGACGUUGAGGCUCGAAAGUGUGGGUAGCAAACAGGAUUAGAUACCCUGGUAGUCCACACCGUAAACGAUGAACACUAGGUGUUAGGAGGUUUCCGCCUCUUAGUGCCGAAGCUAACGCAUUAAGUGUUCCGCCUGGGGAGUACGACCGCAAGGUUGAAACUCAAAGGAAUUGACGGGGACCCGCACAAGCGGUGGAGCAUGUGGUUUAAUUCGAAGCAACGCGAAGAACCUUACCAGGUCUUGACAUCCUUUGAAGCUUUUAGAGAUAGAAGUGUUCUCUUCGGAGACAAAGUGACAGGUGGUGCAUGGUCGUCGUCAGCUCGUGUCGUGAGAUGUUGGGUUAAGUCCCGCAACGAGCGCAACCCUUAUUGUUAGUUGCCAGCAUUCAGAUGGGCACUCUAGCGAGACUGCCGGUGACAAACCGGAGGAAGGCGGGGACGACGUCAGAUCAUCAUGCCCCUUAUGACCUGGGCUACACACGUGCUACAAUGGCGUAUACAACGAGUUGCCAACCCGCGAGGGUGAGCUAAUCUCUUAAAGUACGUCUCAGUUCGGAUUGUAGUCUGCAACUCGACUACAUGAAGUCGGAAUCGCUAGUAAUCGCGGAUCAGCACGCCGCGGUGAAUACGUUCCCGGGUCUUGUACACACCGCCCGUCACACCAUGGGAGUUUGUAAUGCCCAAAGCCGGUGGCCUAACCUUUUAGGAAGGAGCCGUCUAAGGCAGGACAGAUGAACUGGGGUGAAAGUCCG